GUGCGGCAGGCGGCUUGUCAAGACAGAUGUGAAAUACCCCGGGCCGUCAACCUGGGAACUGCAUUUGUGACUGCAAGGCUAGAGUACGGCAGAGGGGGAGUGGAAUUCCGCGUGUAGCAGUGAAAUGCGUAGAUAUGCGGAGGAACACCAAUGGCGAAGGCAAUCCCCUGGGCCUGUACUGACGCUCAUGCACGAAAGCGUGGGGAGCAAACAGGAUUAGAUACCCCUGU
Molecule: ribosomal RNA, 230 nt
Filed under: uncultured bacterium
Lineage: Bacteria
Description: partial 16S ribosomal RNA
Rfam family: Bacterial small subunit ribosomal RNA
Source: RNAcentral